Molecule: ribosomal RNA, 724 nt
Filed under: Stutzerimonas stutzeri
Lineage: Bacteria; Pseudomonadati; Pseudomonadota; Gammaproteobacteria; Pseudomonadales; Pseudomonadaceae
Description: bacterial SSU rRNA
Rfam family: Bacterial small subunit ribosomal RNA
Source: RNAcentral
GAACGCUGGCGGCAGGCCUAACACAUGCAAGUCGAGCGGAUGAGUGGAGCUUGCUCCAUGAUUCAGCGGCGGACGGGUGAGUAAUGCCUAGGAAUCUGCCUGGUAGUGGGGGACAACGUUUCGAAAGGAACGCUAAUACCGCAUACGUCCUACGGGAGAAAGUGGGGGAUCUUCGGACCUCACGCUAUCAGAUGAGCCUAGGUCGGAUUAGCUAGUUGGUGAGGUAAAGGCUCACCAAGGCGACGAUCCGUAACUGGUCUGAGAGGAUGAUCAGUCACACUGGAACUGAGACACGGUCCAGACUCCUACGGGAGGCAGCAGUGGGGAAUAUUGGACAAUGGGCGAAAGCCUGAUCCAGCCAUGCCGCGUGUGUGAAGAAGGUCUUCGGAUUGUAAAGCACUUUAAGUUGGGAGGAAGGGCAGUAAGUUAAUACCUUGCUGUUUUGACGUUACCAACAGAAUAAGCACCGGCUAACUUCGUGCCAGCAGCCGCGGUAAUACGAAGGGUGCAAGCGUUAAUCGGAAUUACUGGGCGUAAAGCGCGCGUAGGUGGUUCGUUAAGUUGGAUGUGAAAGCCCCGGGCUCAACCUGGGAACUGCAUCCAAAACUGGCGAGCUAGAGUAUGGCAGAGGGUGGUGGAAUUUCCUGUGUAGCGGUGAAAUGCGUAGAUAUAGGAAGGAACACCAGUGGCGAAGGCGACCACCUGGGCUAAUACUGACACUGAG